UAGGCAACCUGCCCCGAAGACCGGGACAACACGGGGAAACCCGUGCUAAUACCGGAUGUGGUCUUCGUCCCCAGGGACGAUGAGCAAAGGGAGCUUCGGCCCCCGCUUUGGGAUGGGCCCGCGGCCUAUCAGCUAGUUGGUGGGGUGAUGGCCCACCAAGGCGACGACGGGUAGCCGGCCUGAGAGGGCGACCGGCCACACUGGGACUGAGACACGGCCCAGACUCCUACGGGAGGCAG
Molecule: ribosomal RNA, 239 nt
Filed under: uncultured bacterium
Lineage: Bacteria
Description: partial 16S ribosomal RNA
Rfam family: Bacterial small subunit ribosomal RNA
Source: RNAcentral